GGGGUGUAGCUCAGUUGGUUAGAGCGCAUGCCUGUCACGCAUGAGGUCGCGAGUUCGAGCCUCGUCACUCC
RNAcentral lists this transfer RNA (71 nucleotides) under fish gut metagenome. It matches the Rfam family "tRNA". Rfam says of the family: Transfer RNA (tRNA) molecules are approximately 80 nucleotides in length. The record is from RNAcentral.